CACCUAAAGCAAAACCUAGACAAUGCACACAUAUGAUACAAUACACUGAUACACGCCUAUAUAGAACAAUAGAGACGACUGGAAUUUUGUUGAGUGCAGCUGCACAGCUUUUGACACAACCCCCUUCCCUGGCUUUAUCUUCUCCAAACGACCCCCCCUAUUCAUCUUCCUGAGAAGCCAUUGAAAAUGGGUAAGUUAACUGAUUUGAAGAAGUAUUAGCUGAAGGAAGCAACAGAAGCUAGAAAAAAACAUCAGGAAUUAAGAGAGGGACGAAACAAAGGGAUUUGAGGGGAGAAGGAAUCACGUUUUUUUUCCGGUUGAAACAAAGUAAGGAAGGUCACGGACAGAAUAACAAGAAAACAGAGUAAGGUUUGGGGGUCGUCGUUUGUCGCCGAUUCGAGGUUCCAUUUUUGUCGAGCUCUUGUCCAAGCUGUUUCCGGGUCUAAAUAUGUAAUCAGAUGCAUGGAAACUGUUUAAGGAGCUGAAUCCUUGAGUUUUGUCAUGUCUGCAAAAUCAUCGACAAUAAGGUUGUAAAAUAGGUUGAGGGAAUUAGAGAAAUCGAAAUAUUGAACAUUGGAAUGACAAGUCCCAAAUUGCAUAUUUCAUUCAUCUUCAUUUCCAUAUUUUUGAUUGUGUCAUUGUGGCCAAUCUUGGUACCUUUCCAGCAUAGGAUUUGAGCCAUGAUUCUUGUGCUUGUGUACUUCAACACUUACAUUUGUGAGCCAGCAUAAGGUGGAAAAAGGCACAAAGUUCAAGUAAGCAUUUCUCAUUGGUAAAAUUGAGUUUUUUCUCUGAAUAUCUGUUCAAAUGUCAAACUUUUUUUGUACUAAAACAUUGUCCAAGUAAUGGUAGAUUCUUCAUCAUAUGCAUAACUAUUUUUAAUAUAGCUUUUAUUUGUUUUUGUUCAUGUAUUCCGCAUAGUAUGGAGAUUUGUUUAUGUAUUUCUCAUGGUAUGGAAAUUAAUAACUCUCUGUAUCGUAGUUUGCUUUAAGAAAUUUAAUUAAAUUAUUACAACUACGGGUACGAUUUCCGUGGCGUAGUUGUGGUACCUAAUUAGUCUUAAACAUGAAUAUCUGUAGUUCAUUUAGUUUAAUGCUUUUCCUUCAAUAAUUUGAGGUAUGCUAUGCCAAAAAAAGUUUAUAGGCCAUGGACCUCACUUAAUUAAUGUUAAUCCAUUAGAAUCAAGGCGCGCUAUUUAGCGAAUUUUUAUGGCCCUCGCGAAUCUGAGAUGCGUAACUUCUUUAGGCGUGAUAGUUAAAAAUCUAUUUUCCUAAACACGGGUGUGCAUUUAUGUGACCCAAAUCCAAAUCUCAAUAAUGUUAGAUAAAAUGAAUCUUGGACCGCUUGUGCAUUUAUGUGACGUGGUUCAAAGAUGUGUUUUAUAUGACGUUGAAUAUUUCCUAAUAAUAAUAAUAAUAAUAAUAAUAAUAAUAAAAGCGGCUAAAAUUAAAUUUUUCAUAUAGGUUUAUAAUUGUUUAAAUCAGAUAAUUUCAGCCGAAUAUGACAGUUGAGCGACCGUGCUAGAACCACAGAACUCGGGAAUGCCUAACACCUUCUCUCGGGUUAACUGAAUUCCUUACCCGUAAUUCUGAUUUGCGGACUGUUAAACAGAUUCAUUCUUUUCUCAUUCGGGUUUCUAAACGGUGACUUGGGAUACCAUAAAUCUCCCAAGUGGCGACUCUGAAAUUCUUUUAAAUAAUUGAAUCCCGAUUUGAUUGUCCUUUAUUUGGAAAAACUCCCUUAUCUACGCCCUUCGCCGGGUUGUAUCCAAAAAGAAGGUGUGACAGCUCUGACGACUCUGCUGGGGAAAUCGAACCCAGAGUCUCUGGUUCAGGGUUUAAGAAUUUGAGCUUAGAAUAAUUAUUGUGUUUGGCUUUGUUUAUUAUCUGAUUUUACAUGUUGGCUUAAUGUGUAAAAUGAUGCUUUUACCGCUUUGAUAUUAUCUGAACUAUACAUAUAAACUACUACGAAACCCUUCUCUUCUCACCCCCGGGGAUGUGCUUACUGGUUGAGACUACCUAUUCUAUUAGUGUCAUACCCUGAAAUAAGAAAGAGGCCGGAUAAGUUACUAAGCCGGAUGGCCUUUUGAUUCCCGGUACGUAGCCCCCUCCUUGACUCGAGUUGUCUGCUCGGGUCCACUGUCUGGAACAUAUACCAAGGUUGUUAAUCUAGAAUAACUCAGCCUCAUGCUGGAUCCCUAGUAGGAACGCUUAUUUGCAUCAAGCAUUUGACUUAAGGGACUCAACACUGGGGUUGGGUCCAUCUAGGACAGGUGUACUCAAAUUAAAAGACCAUCCCAAUGCAUUUUAUAUGCCACAUGUUGCAUUUUUUUCAAGGGUAAAAGGGUCAUUUGGCGGACCAAUGAUAGCUGAGGGUAAAUAAAAAAAUGAGAAAAAAAGAAAAAAAAUUAAAAAGAGAGGGUGAAGUGUGGAAAUAGAGCAAGUAGGGUGUAGUUAUAUUUUUGUCACAUUUUUAUUUAACAAAAUAAAAGAUAUAUGAAAAAUUCAAAAAAAUAUUUUACUCUUUUUCAUCAUUUCCUGAAAAUCAAAUAAAAAGAAAAAGAAAAAACAUUUCAAAAGAGUUUACAUGUUUCAUAUUUUUUUUUCUUCCAAAAAGAGACAAAAGAAAAUGUGUUCUUUAAAAAUUAGUUUUUUUUAUUAUUCUUGCCCAUAUCUAAUUUGCCGGAACUACACAAACCUGAUUCUCGUCUUUCGGAGCAUGAUACGUAGGCAACCCAGACAUGGUCCGAUUUUUCUAAUAAAUCUUAGGUUCUUGGUUUUGCGGGGCCAUAUCCAAAUUUUGCACUUCUAGCCACUUUUAGCCAUAGGUUAGUUUUAGAAUUCAGAAGUUGUUUAUUAGAAAUUGUGUGAAGUUAUGUCAAUGGACUCUAUUAUUGAAAUUCUUAGAGCUAAAGUUGGAAUUCUCUUGUAAAACUUCUUUUAUGCAAGCGAAAGUUCUGUUGAGAUCAGUCUUUGUUUGUUGGAGCAUUGUUUUGUGAUUUUAACUCAAUCUAUGAAUUGUUCGUGAGACAAUGUUUGAAAGAAAAUCCCGCAUUGAACACCAAUUAUCUUUGUGCUAAGACUGUGGAGUUCUGAAGCUUGUCUUGUUGAAGUUUGCCACUUUUGUGAAGUUUUUGGAGUAAAUUGAUAGUUGAAAUUCUCCUAGUUUGAACUUGUUACCACUGGUUUCUAAUAGUUGUUAUUAUUGUUGAGUUUAAUAGAGGGAAUUUAGUGGGACUAGAGAUUGAGCAUGCUUGCAUUGUGAUUUGGUUGAACAUACACUAAGCUAAACCUGUCGGAAAUUUAUGUUAGUUGAGAUUGUGCUCAAGUUUAGCAGUGAUAGCUUGAAAUCUAGUUUUUACUUCUAAAAUUUUCUCCUUGUUGAAUUGAGUGCUCUUGUUACAUAAACUAUUGUCCAGUUGGUUAGAAUUUGCUGACAGAAGUUGCUUGUUUGCUGGAAAAUAAUUUGCUGCUUGUUUUCUGUUGCUGAAAAGGAUUUCAUACUUGCUUUCCACAGCCCUACAUUGUUCAUUUUUCGCUCAACAAUAGAGAUUUCCACAUUUCUUUAAUUGAUUGUUGUUACUAUUGUUUUUCUUAACUUCUUGUUUCUUGUCGAUGUAAAGGAUUUCAUACUUGCUGUCCACAGCCCUGCAUUGUUCAUUUUUCGGUCAACAAUGAAGAUUUUCACAUUUCUUUAAUUGAUUGUUGUUACUAUAGUUUUUCUUAACAGUUGAGGGAAUUUUGUAGAAGUUUUAGCUUCAGUUAGCUCAAUUGCAUUGCUUCAGUUUAUAUGCCAACAAUACACUAUUGAAAUUCAAGUUUUGAGCUAUUUUUUUAAAAGCAGAUCCCGUACUAUUCAGCUGUACUUUGUGGUUAUUCUGACUAAAUAUUGAUGUGAUUCUAAUGCUUUGUUUCUACAGGUGAGGUCGUCAUUCUGGGCCGAAAUUUCUAUGCCUAUUGCUGCUGAAUUUAGUGCUCAAGGUGUUGCUGAAGUUAUGAGUUUUGAGAAGUGAUUGAAUAGUGAACCUGCCAGCUUGUUUGAAUCUUAGAAUUUUGCAUUUAAAUGAAAUUUGUUGAUGUAAUACAAGUUUUCUAAGAAUUAUUUGUAUUUUUCUACAAUAUUUUGUAAACCUGAAACUAG
RNAcentral lists this long non-coding RNA (4140 nucleotides) under Nicotiana benthamiana. RNAcentral describes it as "long non-coding RNA (NBEN_LNC036083)". The record is from RNAcentral. Lineage: Eukaryota; Viridiplantae; Streptophyta; Magnoliopsida; Solanales; Solanaceae.